RNAcentral lists this ribosomal RNA (492 nucleotides) under uncultured bacterium. RNAcentral describes it as "partial 16S ribosomal RNA". It matches the Rfam family "Bacterial small subunit ribosomal RNA", at positions 29 to 507 of the family's 1533-position model. The record is from RNAcentral.
AGUGAACGCUGGCGGUAGGCCUAACACAUGCAAGUCGAACGGCAGCACAGUAAGAGCUUGCUCUUACGGGUGGCGAGUGGCGGACGGGUGAGGAAUACAUCGGAAUCUACUUUUUCGUGGGGGAUAACGUAGGGAAACUUACGCUAAUACCGCAUACGACCUACGGGUGAAAGCAGGGGAUCUUCGGACCUUGCGCGAUUGAAUGAGCCGAUGUCGGAUUAGCUAGUUGGCGGGGUAAAGGCCCACCAAGGCGACGAUCCGUAGCUGGUCUGAGAGGAUGAUCAGCCGCACGGGAACUGGAACACGGUCCAGGCUCCUACGGGAGGCAGCAGUGGGGAAUAUUGGACAAUGGGCGGAAGCCUGAUCCAGCCAUACCGCGUGGGUGAAGAAGGCCUUCGGGUUGGAAAGCCCUUUUGUUGGGAAAGAAAAGCAGCAGGUUAAUACCCCGCUGUUCUGACGGUACCCAAAGAAUAAGCACCGGCUAACUUCGUG